Acinonyx jubatus (cheetah) is the source of this 7167-nucleotide long non-coding RNA. RefSeq lists it as uncharacterized. The transcript is spliced from 3 exons. The record is from RefSeq and is a predicted model, not a curated record. NCBI's taxonomy places the organism in Eukaryota, Metazoa, Chordata, Mammalia, Carnivora, Felidae.
GCAUGGGCGGAUAUGCCAGAUCUUGAAGGAUACAGUUAAACUGGUACAGUGACUACAUCUGGAGACAAUAGUUAUUGUGUCAUUUGUAGACUUUGUGUACUAUAAAAAAAUGUUUUUGAAAAGUAAUGUAAGAAUUUCAAAGUCAAGAACAAAAGGCCAUUCUAGAUACUGGGCCCUCCCGGGGAAUCCCCCCUGGGUCUGGUUUCGUCCCACAAGGAUGAUGCUGGAAGCGUGGGCACCAGCCACUUAGACUUCGGUGAGACGUAAAAACCGUGCUGAAUUUGCUGUUGCCGUCACGGCCUUCUGUGAAAGUAAAUGGCAAGAAGCGCUCCUCUCCCACAACCCGUACCCUCCAGAGUGCGCUGCGGGUAAGCAGCAGACCUCUGCCGCAGCAGGGCCAGGGGUCUGGAGGGAAAGGUGUUCCGCUGCCACCUCGUGUGACUUGCCGAGUUUGCGUUUCUCCCCACAGUUGUCGAGCGCCUGACACUCGGGUGGGCCCAGGACAGCUCUGCCCUUUCUCUUCCUGCUAACGACUCGAUGGAGCCGCCUCUUUCAUGGGUGCUGCCCCUCUGAUGGGGUCAACACACAGAGGGCCGUCAGCCCAGGUAACAGGGCCAGCCCCAGUCACGUCUGAAUGUUGUCCCCUUGUCCAUCCUUAAACAUAGUAGUGUUGUUGUUGUUAGAUCCCGUGGGCCUGUCCCCUGAGCCUUCAGGGUUAUAGUUGGAAUCCUCAGAGAUGGGUGGCGGUGGGGUGGCCAGGGACUUCAAUAGAGCUCCCUAUCUCUGGUCACUGGACGCUGAAAUCUUCCUUCCAACAUGGUGUCUAUUGUGGCCUGAAAGAAAGAUGCUUUUGUGGAGGCGAGGAAAUCUGGUUAACUUUUCAUCUGUCUUCAGUGCCAGGCCAUCAGGGAAGUGCUCCUGGAAGUCCAGAGAAACACAGCAACACACUCUCCUCCACACAGAGCCCCUUUCACCCCAAGGCACUUGUCAGACUAUGUAUGGGGAUUACCUCACCUCCCUCUUUGGGGUGGAAGGCGACAGCUGUCCACUUCCCAGAUGCUUUGCAUAUCCAUUUGAGAGGAAGUGAGGGGGCGUUGGGGGUGAUGGGGUGUAUUAUCUAAGCUGGACCCAGGCCAGUGUGAAUUGUGGAACCAACGAGUGCACGGCCCCUUGCCCUCGGCUUUCCAGCUCACCAGGAAGAUGGCGACAAACCAUUAGGAGGCUGAGCACAGGAGGAAGGAAAGGACAGGCUGUGAGGGUUAGUGGCCUCCUUGGAGCUGGGGCCAGAGUGACCUUACAGUGGAGAAAUUGAAGUGGGCAGGGUCGCGUUAUCAGGCGCCUUGGAGGUCAUGGUGUGUUUUAGAAGGAAUUGCCUUCCAAGUGAGAGUGUUAGUUAAUUGUCGUGAACUUGAAGGGACAGGUGUGCAACCAUUCCCAACAGGAUUCAUCUUGGGUGAGAGCAGAUCCACUGUGGCCCUUAUUUGCCACUGGCCCACUGAAUGAUUUUCCUGUAGCCAGACUGGCCCCCUCCUGGGGUGUCUCUCAGGAAAGUCAGGCAUGCCAAGGGACAGACCUCCAAGCUGAUUUCCCCAGCACCUCAGCAGAUUUAGCCAAAAGCCUCACUGAGAAUUCACUGAGAAAGAUUUUGGCGCUCUCCUUGUCUAAGCCCUCUCUUCCUCUUCCUCCAUUUUACUGAUGAGGAUGCCACAGCCCAGGGAGACAUGGGCUGGGACAAGGACCUGGAUCACCUGACCAGUCACAUGCCAUCCCUGUCCUGCUUGUGUGGGCACUCCCCCUGUCCACCGGCAUCCUGUGUGUCUGGGUGUGCCCUUUUUGUAGAGAGCAGUGAGAUGUGAGAGAAUGUCCCCCUGGGUGGCUGGGCCAGGCCAGACCCCACUGCCGGAGAGAUCUCAAGGCCAGACUCGGCUCUGUCUCCACAGUGAGGCCUUGCCUGGUUGUCCCCUCAUGGCUGCAUGUUAGCUUACCUUCAGCGCUGAGGUGAAGAGUGAAAAGCUUGUAGGGCAAAGGUUUCUAUUUCACUAAUGGAUCAUAAAAGUAGCCUGUGUUCAUGGGAAAUAUAAACCACAAAAAUAAUAUAAAGUCAGACAGAAGCCCCAGUUCCCAUUUCUGAUCUGAAGGCAUUUGAAGGGGCUAGGCCAAGUUUUACCUGCUUUACGGGUAUUUGUUUUACUGAAUUAUCGCAGCACUGGAACAGGAACCAUUCUCGUUUUACAGAUGAGAAGACCAAGGCACAGAGAUGAGUGUUCCUGAGCUCACACAGUGAUGCCCCCCUUGGCGGAAGCAGAUUUCAGACUCAGGCUGUUCAACCCCCGCGCUGGGCUCUUAAAUCACUUGACUUCUUUGACCUGCUGUUUCCUCCUCAGCAAAAUCAGCCUGAUGGGGAAAACACAUGAAGUGUGCCUCAGAGCUGGGCUGGAAGAGAUGCCUAUGAGCGAGAUGUGUUGUUUUCACACAACAAAAAGCUAUACAGCAACGAAAAGGGACAAAUUGCAGCUACAGGUGCAGCAGCAGAGGAAGCAUAUGACUCCCGUGCAUGGUGAAGACAGCAAGAGCCUGCAAAUACGGAGUCCUGUAAUGCAAACCACGAGUGCCUCUGAGCUGUGGUAGGCGCACUCCAAAUCGCAAAUCCGCAAGGCAUUGCACAUCUGGAUGGAGCACGAGCCUUGGAAAAAUUGUGCCUCUUGGUAUCCAUGGUGUCUGAAGCAAAGCAAAACAGUAUGUGAAGGGUGGGAUAUGGAAACACGGUGGCUGGAGCCCCUUAUUAAGGGGUGUCGAAUGUCACUGACAGCCGCUGCCCUUCUACUGCAUGAAGGUAAUAAAUAUUAACAGGGACUCUCACGAGUUCUCUCAUCACUUGGGUCUCCCCCAGCUGUCUCCAUCAAGUCUUAAGUUGUGAAUCCUCCUGGCAGUUGGGAGGGAAAUACAGUAAAUUCAGUCGAUAUAGUAGAAUAGGCCUGUGCACACAGUAGCCCCUGGGUUCCAAGGCCCCCUCCAAAGCUGCCCCCACCCCAAGGCUGCCCUCAUGUUCACUUGAAGUCUGAAGAACAGAAGCCUUCCAAGCCUCUUUUUUUGGUAUUGGAAACCUACCUAUGCCAACAUGUCAGGUUCUUGGUGACUGUCGGGAGCCCCCGCCUAGGAGAGGUAGUGGGAAGCCACAGUUCUCCCCCUCCGAGCUGGCUACCGGGAGGUGUGCUGCUGGGAAAGCAAAUCUCAGACCCCACGUGCGACAGCGACUAGGGAGCACGUGAAAAAGACUCCUGCCACCGAAAGCUUGGCAAAGCGUCUGUUCGCUCUCUGCAGAUGCACGUCCAUGGGGAACAGGAGGAUGGGUGGCAGGGGAGAGCAGAAUCCCCCGGGAAUCUGCUGCUAAGGGUCUGCGGGUGGGGACGGGGGCAGUGAACUCCCUACAGGAGUUCCAGACUCAAACCUUCUGCAGAUCUUAGGUGGUUGGGCCUGCCAAGUUCUCAUGCCCCAAGUCUACUGGGGACAGAGGUACCUAGAUAACAUUUCUGGCCACUCACAUAUUUGGACUGGAUUCAUUUCACCAACGACGAAGUUAUAAUGACAGGGAGUAGAGAUUCAUUCCCGGAGGUUGUGCUCACUUUGGUCCGUGUGCUGGCACAGGGGAAGGGGAGCGGAGAUACUCAACACAAGUUCCUUACCAGCCCCGGGCCGGCCCCGGCCCCAGGGAAUCCCAGCAACCCCAAAUAAGGGAAAUGAAGAACCUCAAGCUGCUUUAGGCAGCAAACCCCACAGGGGCCACCAGCCUUUGCUGUGGGAAGAGGGCAUUAGCUGUCCCCUUGAGUCCCACUUGCUCGGGGAAGCUGUUGAGGCCUGAAGGGAGCUUCAGGUCACCUCACGUUCCCCAGAAGGCUGAGUUUACAUGGUGUGGGGAACCCAGGGUGGCUGCCACCUUCCCCUCCCACUGGGGGCUCCGUGAGCCUCAGAGGCACCAGCAUCCAGAAGCUCUCCAAACCCCAUACUUCAGGGAUUUUUAUGGAGGCCUUACUAUGGGGAUGAACCCAGGGGAUGGGUGGGGGGAAGUGCUGAACAUCCCAGGCUUCUGACCAUGCUUGGUCUUUCAGGUCACCAACCCCUGUGCUGAAGGUAGCCAGGAAGGAGCCUGCCAAGAGUCACUUCAUUAGAGCAAAAGAUAUUCCCAUCACCCAGGAAACUCCAAGGGAUUUGGGAGCUCUGUGUCAGGAAGCAAAGGCAAACAAGAGAUGCUCCUAGCACCUUAACGGAGUAGGAAAUUCCAAAGGUUUUGGGAGUUCUGGCCAGGAGCUGGGUUCAAACACCAAAAUAUAUAGUUCUUCUGCCAUCAUAACAUCACAUUGUAACAAGGAGUUCAUGGCUGUGCAAAAUCCCCUGGGGAGCCCGGCUGCAAUUUUCUAGGUGCACAGACCUUUAAAAAAUGAAGUCGAUUUAAAAUCCAUGCUAAUACAGUAGCAGGAAGCUUCUAGCAGUCUGUGGCUAUUUAAAUUACAUUUCAUUUAAUUUAAAUUUAAAGGAAAAUUCAAUUCUUUUGUUGUACUAGCCACUUUUCAAGCGCUCUGUAGCUGGCUAAUGACCACCAUAUUGGUCAGUGCAGAUAAAGAAAAUUUUAAUUGGACAAUGCUGUUUUAAAUGCCUUCACUAAAACAAUAAGACUUUAUCACCAUCAAAGAAAAAAUAGUUUCAAUGUAGUAUAAUCGUGUUUUUAAGAACAGAUUUGAACAGGCUUCCCAAAUGUAAUUGUGCAUAAGAAUCAUCUAGGGAAUCUUGUAAAAAUUCACGUUCUGAUUCUGCAGGUCUGGGGUGAGGCCCUAGAUUCUGCAUUUCUAGUAAGCCCACAGGUCAUGCUAAUGCUGCUGGUCUUUGGACCAUCCUUUUGGGCAGUGAGGGAUCACUGGAUUAAUUAAAAAACACCCAGGGUACAUUUUAGUGAUGAACCUUGGGAAUGGGAAGCAAGUUCGAAAUUGCAUCAUGAGUGAUGAGCGUCAUCUUUCACUCCUGGCCAGAUACCUUGGCCGCUGUCGACUUCAUUCAGACAGUAUGUCUCAAGCCUAAAUUUCAGGCCUGUUGUUAGGCCCCGCCCAAAGGCCCGUUUCCCAGAGUGAUAGGUCCUGGCGUCAGGAACAGCUUCCCUCUUAGGGCCCCAUCAGGCCAAAAGGCCCCGGCUCCCCCGGGAAUCAAGGCGACUUGCCAUGACAGCUGCCGGGGACAGCUCGUCUCAGAACAGUGAACUGGAUGCCUUGUCUCAGCCUCUCCUUUAUUUCUUGUCUUUUUUUCAAAUGUAAAAAUAGAGAAGUUCAAAGCCCCCAUAUUCCCACCGCCCCAAAUUACCACCGUUACAAUUUGUCACAUAUUCCUUCCAGUGCGUCCCACGUAUGUUGUUGAUUCAGUGGCCUGAGAUGAACAUAGCCGCCGAGUGUUCACACCUGGUGUGGUGCUGGCCCUGUGACUUACCUAACUACGGGAUGUGGCGGAGGUGAUGCUGUGCCAGCCCUGAGGCAAAGACUUGAGGAAGCCUGACAGUUUCUGGGUUUUCACUGAUGGAAGCUCUUUGUGCCCAGCCACUCUGCUGGAGUGAUCACAUUGGCGACUGCGUGGAGAGACAGCCGGACGAGGACUGACCAGGAGGCCCAGCCUACGCGGAGACACAAGGCCUCGGCUUGCAGCUGAGUGAGGCUACCCAGGUGGCUCCCAGCAAGACCAGCCAAGGGACUGCCCCAGAGAGCUCAGCCAAGGUGGAAGAACCAGGAGCAAAUAAAACGGCAGACCUUCCCAGCACCUCCUUCCCAGCAGAAACCACGUUUGGUGGAGACCAUACCCUCUGGUGGCAUCUACCCUUCUUCUCCGUGGGAUCACAAGCAGGUGAGAGCACUUUGGGGCAGAAGAAGCCAAGCGGCCAGAGGUUAUCCCCUUCCCUCUAGGGCUUACCAUGGUGGGCUUGAACCCUGGCUCUACCACUUACCAGCCCUGUGAACUCAGGCCAUAAAGUGGGCCUCCCUGAGCCUUCCCAUUUACAGAAACAGGAAUUACGAUAGUGAUAAGCCCCUCCUAGGGCUUUGGUGGGGAUCCCCAGAAACUGGAUGGACUGUCUUAGGGCAGGACCCGGCACCCACGGGUGUUGUCAUGGUGACUGUUCUUGCCCUGUUUCAUCAUCCUCACGGACAUCAUCCGGGUUGGCCACCCUCUAGGGGAUCUGUGUGCCUGCCUUCACAGAGGGCUCCAGAAGGGGCUUCACGAAGAGGAGAAAGGAAGAAAUCCUCACCAGGGAGGGAGGUGGAGGUUCCCAGAAGUGCAAGGAGGAGGGAGGAGCCCACUGGAUUGUAAGCCCCGAGAGGGCAAGGCCUGCAUCCAUUUCUUCCCUGCUGUGUCCCCAGCACUGAGGACAGUGCCUGGCACAGGUUUGGUGCUCAGAGCACAUUUUUUUCAAUGAAUGCAUGGACUUUUGAGCGGAUCACUGUGUCCCUGGAAUGUGAACCUGCCCUGGGCUUCUGGCUGGAGAUAAUUGGGUGCUGAAUUGUUGACUGGUUGGUGAUACAGGACUCAGCCUUCAAAUUCCUGUGCCUGGAAUUUGAUCAUGGAAAUACAGAGAGCAGGGCAGUUAGCAGUAAGGGCUCAGGAAGCAGAAGUGAGAAAUGGGGUGGAGUUGGUCCUUCCAAGGGCGAGGCAACCCGGGCACCCUGGGGGAGAGCGGCUCUCCAGUUCCCAGGCGCCCCUCCAUCUUCCCAGCUACUUAAGUGGUCAGAGGAGGAAAGUGAGAGGGAGGAGCAGGGUGCUCCCCCCCAUCCGAGAGACCCUCCACCACAGGGAGCUCAUUCCCCUUCAUCUGCAGGCCCCUCACUGAGCCCUGCUAUGCACUGGCCUUGGCACUUGGGGCCAGGGCAGAACCACAGCCCUUCAGAGUGGCCUCUGUGGUAGGUAGGAAUCCAGACAGGGCAAGAGGAGAGGGAGCACUUCUUGGAGGAGUCCAUGUCUACUGUCUGCAGUGGUUGCUGAAGGGUGGAACAAGUUGGCCAGGGAAAAGAACAGGCAAUGACUUUCGAGGCAGAAGGAACAACGUGGGCAAAGGCCCAGAGAUUGGAGAGGGCCUGGCCAGUUUGGGGAACAGCAGGACAUUCCAUGUGGCCAGACCACGAGUGGGGGUGGGGGGCGGUG